AGCGAACGCAGGCGGCAGGCCUAACACAUGCAAGUCGAACGGCAGCACAGUAAGAGCUUGCUGUUAUGGGGGGCGAGUGGCGUACGUGAGAGGUAUAUAACGGAAUCUACAUUUUCGGGUGGCUUAACGAAGGGAAACUUACUCCAAUAUCGCAUAUGAUCUACCGUUGAAAGCGUUGGAUCUUCUCAGCGUGUGCGAUUGAAUGAGCCGAUGUCGGAUUAGCUAGUUGGCGGGGUAAUGACCCACCCAGGCGGCGAUCGGUAGCUGGACUGAGAGAAUGAUCAGCCGCACUGGAAGUGAGACGCGGUCCAGGCGACUACGGGAGGCAGCAGUGGGGAAUGUUGGGCAGUGGGGGGGAGCCUGGUCCAGCCGGACCGAGUGGGUGAAAGAGGCCUUCGGGUUGUAAAGCCCUUUUGUUGGGAAAGAAAAGCAGCAGGUUAAUACCACGCGGUUGUGACGGUACCCAGAGAAUAAGCACCGGCUAACUUCGUG
This 492-nucleotide ribosomal RNA is filed under the name uncultured bacterium. RNAcentral describes it as "partial 16S ribosomal RNA". It matches the Rfam family "Bacterial small subunit ribosomal RNA", at positions 29 to 507 of the family's 1533-position model. The record is from RNAcentral.